ACAGUCUGUUGCUCUAGGAGAUAUUAAGUUAUAAUUUCAUAUGCUUAAAUGUACAGCACAGUAAGCCAUGGACUCACUGUGAAAAGUAAUAAAUAUUAAAUACUGUACAAAUGCAAAACCUCAGACACUUUUCCCCCUCCUUAAGUUAAAGUGAGAGUCAGUGAGGAUCAAGCCUUCAUCUCUGCUCCUCUCAAAGAUAUCCUCAUUGCUGAAGUUGGACAUGAUCUCAUUUCAUAUUCCUUUGCUCGAGUUUGGAUUUGUAGAUCCUGACACAUAAAAACAAUCGUAAAAUGAGGGAAAGUUUGAGUCUUUGGGUUCCUGGGUGAGGACACCUCACCACACCGAGAGGUUACACCUGUCAAACUGGAGUGGAUAGUGUUUGAUACAGAGAGGCUCAGUCAUGAGCUCAUAUACACAAGUAGAAAUUAGCUUUGGUACUGAAACAUCCACUGAGAAAUAACAUGGAUUUUCAUCGGGCCUUAAAAGAUGUAUUCUGACCUAUAUCGCCCUCUAUUGGUGAGCACCACUGUACAUAAGAAGGACCUUGCCUUUACAACUUUCUCAAAUGAUUUCUAAAAUCCUAAACAAAGCCUUUGCCUCCUCAGCUCUCCUGGCUGAAUGAGCAAUUUUCAUCAAAUGGAAACGACCUCUCAUUUCCCGUUGAUCCCACCGUCAGAAAUCUGAUGCUGCCAUCAUGGCCAAAAAUGUCCCUUGCUCCGAGCACUGUCGUCUGCUGUUGAUCAGGUGAAAACGUUUGGGGAGUUCUGGGAGAAGAAUUGGCAGUGAUGUGAAGUGCCACCAGGUGGAGAGACUUUGUUCCAAAAUAAAGUACAGGCUGGGUAGUGAGAGCUGAAGCCAGAAAUGUCAACACCUCGUGAGACCUUUAAUCAUUGGGAUUAAUCAAAAAACUUCAGCCCCCUACAGGUAAAUUAGGACCUAAAAUCAUACUAACUGCCACCUUAACUGCUUCCUAAAUGACUUGUCAACCAAUUGUAACUACUAACUAUUAAUCUGGCAAAUAAAAUGUCAGGAAAUAGUCAUAUCACUCGAUAAGUAACACAAAACUGCAGUACAGAAAUGCCAUAAAUAUGCAAUCUAGAGACAGUAUACCUUAUAACAUGACACCAAUAAGGACUGACAAGUUUAUUUUUUUAACUGUAAAUUGUCCCAGUCUGCACAUAUCUUGGUCAUAAUUCUUUAAUAAUCAAGUUUAAAGGGAUCUUCAACAAAAAUGUUUGUUUUGUGAAAAAAUAUAUUGAUCUUUUUAAAACUCAUUUAUCUGCAUUGACCUCAAAAACCCAGCAUUGGUCAGGCUCUAGUGUGAAAUUCCCAUCACAAAUGUAAAAAAUCCCAAAGAUAUUAAAUUGUAACAAUUAUAAAACAGAGCAUCAGCAAAUCAUUAAACAUUUAAGCUGGAACCAUCAAUUUUUUUCACUUGAUAAAAAGACUGUCAAUUCAUUGGUUUCCAAAAUGAAGUUGUUCUCUAAAAACAUCUGAUCUUAAACCAUUUAAUUAUGUACAGACACAGCUCAGUUGUAUAUUAAUUGCACUAUUUUAUUCAGCUGAUACUAAAAACAAUGUGGAACAUAUGCUCACCAAAAUGUUAUGAACAACUGAUGAGACAAUAAAACCUCAACACAAAAGCUAAUAAGAGGCAGUGCACUGGAUUGGACUCAAGAUCUAAAUAAAUGCAAAUUCUUGACACUUAAGGCUUCGCAGGCCUUGUAGAAACCACAGGAUGGAAAGACAACAUAUCUUUUUAAGCAGCACAACAAGGAAAACGGCAUUAUAUAAAAAUACCAAAGACAUAAUGUGAUUCUGUGUUGCUGAAUUGCUGUUUAUUUUGUUCUUCUGAGUGUUCGGGGGAUUUGUGAGAAAGAAAUGUGUGUGCUACUAUUUACAGUGUAACUCAGUAUGGGGCAAAAGUACAGUUCACUUUAAUUUUUAUUUUUUUAAUUCAAUGU
Siniperca chuatsi (mandarin fish) is the source of this 1964-nucleotide long non-coding RNA. RefSeq lists it as uncharacterized. The record is from RefSeq and is a predicted model, not a curated record. The transcript has 2 exons. NCBI's taxonomy places the organism in Eukaryota, Metazoa, Chordata, Actinopteri, Centrarchiformes, Sinipercidae.